UACGUAGGGUGCAAGCGUUAAUCGGAAUUACUGGGCGUAAAGCGUGCGCAGGCGGUUAUGUAAGACAGGUGUGAAAUCCCCGGGCUUAACCUGGGAACUGCAUUUGUGACUGCAUAGCUAGAGUACGGUAGAGGGGGAUGGAAUUCCGCGUGUAGCAGUGAAAUGCGUAGAUAUGCGGAGGAACACCGAUGGCGAAGGCAGGUAACUGGGGCUGUGCCGACGCUGAGACACGAAAGCCAGGGGAGCGAACGGG
RNAcentral lists this ribosomal RNA (253 nucleotides) under uncultured bacterium. RNAcentral describes it as "partial 16S ribosomal RNA". It matches the Rfam family "Bacterial small subunit ribosomal RNA", at positions 524 to 776 of the family's 1533-position model. The record is from RNAcentral.